GUCAUAUGUAAAAAUCUGUGAAAAUUUGGGAGGGUUUCAAUUUUGGCAUUUUUUUCUAUUUCUAAACUCUACCUAAAUACAAAUGAUACUGUUUUGUCUUUAGUAAUGUUUGUUAUUAUACAUAAACCUUAAUCAUUGAGAUUUUUUUUAUCAAAAAAAUUCCUAAAACGACGUUUUAUAAAUAAAACUUCAAAAAUCAAG
RNAcentral lists this long non-coding RNA (201 nucleotides) under Mytilus galloprovincialis (Mediterranean mussel). Lineage: Eukaryota; Metazoa; Mollusca; Bivalvia; Mytilida; Mytilidae. The record is from RNAcentral.